GCCUGGGUGGCUCAGUGGGUUAAGCGUUCGACUUCGGCUCAGGUCAUGAUCUCUCAGUUUGUGGGUUCGAGCCCUGCCUCGGGCU
This 85-nucleotide transfer RNA is filed under the name Felis catus (domestic cat). It matches the Rfam family "tRNA". From Rfam's summary of the family: Transfer RNA (tRNA) molecules are approximately 80 nucleotides in length. The record is from Rfam by way of RNAcentral. Lineage: Eukaryota; Metazoa; Chordata; Mammalia; Carnivora; Felidae.